GAUGAACGCUGGCGGCGUGCCUAAUACAUGCAAGUCGAGCGAACGGACGAGAAGCUUGCUUCUCUGAUGUUAGCGGCGGACGGGUGAGUAACACGUGGAUAACCUACCUAUAAGACUGGGAUAACUUCGGGAAACCGGAGCUAAUACCGGAUAAUAUUUUGAACCGCAUGGUUCAAAAGUGAAAGACGGUCUUGCUGUCACUUAUAGAUGGAUCCGCGCUGCAUUAGCUAGUUGGUAAGGUAACGGCUUACCAAGGCAACGAUGCAUAGCCGACCUGAGAGGGUGAUCGGCCACACUGGAACUGAGACACGGUCCAGACUCCUACGGGAGGCAGCAGUAGGGAAUCUUCCGCAAUGGGCGAAAGCCUGACGGAGCAACGCCGCGUGAGUGAUGAAGGUCUUCGGAUCGUAAAACUCUGUUAUUAGGGAAGAACAUAUGUGUAAGUAACUGUGCACAUCUUGACGGUACCUAAUCAGAAAGCCACGGCUAACUACGUGCCAGCAGCCGCGGUAAUACGUAGGUGGCAAGCGUUAUCCGGAAUUAUUGGGCGUAAAGCGCGCGUAGGCGGUUUUUUAAGUCUGAUGUGAAAGCCCACGGCUCAACCGUGGAGGGUCAUUGGAAACUGGAAAACUUGAGUGCAGAAGAGGAAAGUGGAAUUCCAUGUGUAGCGGUGAGAUGCGCAGAGAUAUGGAGGAACACCAGUGGCGAAGGCGACUUUCUGGUCUGUAACUGACGCUGAUGUGCGAAAGCGUGGGGAUCAAACAGGAUUAGAUACCCUGGUAGUCCACGCCGUAAACGAUGAGUGCUAAGUGUUAGGGGGUUUCCGCCCCUUAGUGCUGCAGCUAACGCAUUAAGCACUCCGCCUGGGGAGUACGACCGCAAGGUUGAAACUCAAAGGAAUUGACGGGGACCCGCACAAGCGGUGGAGCAUGUGGUUUAAUUCGAAGCAACGCGAAGAACCUUACCAAAUCUUGACAUCCUUUGACAACUCUAGAGAUAGAGCCUUCCCCUUCGGGGGACAAAGUGACAGGUGGUGCAUGGUUGUCGUCAGCUCGUGUCGUGAGAUGUUGGGUUAAGUCCCGCAACGAGCGCAACCCUUAAGCUUAGUUGCCAUCAUUAAGUUGGGCACUCUAAGUUGGCUGCCGGUGACAAACCGGAGGAAGGUGGGGAUGACGUCAAAUCAUCAUGCCCCUUAUGAUUUGGGCUACACACGUGCUACAAUGGACAAUACAAAGGGCAGCGAAACCGCGAGGUCAAGCAAAUCCCAUAAAGUUGUUCUCAGUUCGGAUUGUAGUCUGCAACUCGACUACAUGAAGCUGGAAUCGCUAGUAAUCGUAGAUCAGCAUGCUACGGUGAAUACGUUCCCGGGUCU
Molecule: ribosomal RNA, 1372 nt
Filed under: uncultured bacterium
Lineage: Bacteria
Description: bacterial SSU rRNA
Rfam family: Bacterial small subunit ribosomal RNA
Source: RNAcentral